CUUCAGUACAUGAAUGAAUACAUAAACUAUGGUACAUUCAGACAAUGGAACAUUCAGUAAGGAAAAGAAAUGAGCUAUCAAGCUACCAAAAAGGAAGAACAGAAGAAUAUUAAGUGCGUAUUGGUUAGUAUAUGGUUCCAAGAAGUAGAUGAAAGCCAAUUACAAUAAUCUGUGCAUCCAAAGGGCUCAGGGAAACUCCAGGACCGGCAGCUUUAGACUUCAAGACGGAAGCAUAAGAGGAAAAGAAAACAUACUGCGUGGGUUAGAUUUUGAGAGAAGGAGCGUCUGCCUUGGCCAAAAAUCAAAGUAGGUCUGACAAAGCGUCCGAGGAAUGAAGGAGGAACUGGAGAGGAUUCGCGGUUGGGCGGAGACACGUUCGCUGAAUUGCCUUGCGUAUAUUUGGUAGGGGAAACGUGUGACUACAGAGCAAAGAAAGAUGGACAAUAGCGAGUAACUUCACAGGGAUUUCCUAAGAGCUCCAUUUUCACGUCAAUUCCUCGUUAGUAUAGUGGCUUCAGAACUUCAGUCAUCCAAAGACACCAUCAACAAUGUAAAAAGGCAAAGCACAGAAUAGAAGAAGAUAUUUGUAAUACAUAUUUAUGACAAAGGAUUCAUGUCUAGUGUGAUGGUUAAUACUGAGUGUCGAUUUGAUUGGAUUGAAGGAUGCAAUAUUGAUCCUGGGUGUGUCUGUCAGGGU
Molecule: long non-coding RNA, 697 nt
Filed under: Homo sapiens (human)
Lineage: Eukaryota; Metazoa; Chordata; Mammalia; Primates; Hominidae
Description: HSALNT0103102
Source: RNAcentral